Molecule: transfer RNA, 68 nt
Filed under: Phasianella solida
Lineage: Eukaryota; Metazoa; Mollusca; Gastropoda; Trochida; Phasianellidae
Description: tRNA-Leu
Rfam family: tRNA
About the family: Transfer RNA (tRNA) molecules are approximately 80 nucleotides in length. Their secondary structure includes four short double-helical elements and three loops (D, anti-codon, and T loops).
Source: RNAcentral
AACAAGAUGGCAGAUUAGUGCAUUAGGUUUAAGCCCUAGUCAUGAAGGUGAAAUUUCUUCUCUUGUUU